UCCCUCGUGGCGCAAUUGGCUAGCGCGUUCGACUGUUAGUAACAAGGCCUGCAAUCGAGAGGUUGGUGGUUCGAGCCCACCCGAGGGAG
Molecule: transfer RNA, 89 nt
Filed under: Blumeria graminis f. sp. tritici
Lineage: Eukaryota; Fungi; Ascomycota; Leotiomycetes; Helotiales; Erysiphaceae
Also listed under: 1 other name
Rfam family: tRNA
About the family: Transfer RNA (tRNA) molecules are approximately 80 nucleotides in length. Their secondary structure includes four short double-helical elements and three loops (D, anti-codon, and T loops).
Source: Rfam by way of RNAcentral